AGUGAACGCUGGCGGUAGGCCUAACACAUGCAAGUCGAACGGCAGCACAGUAAGAGCUUGCUCUUACGGGUGGCGAGUGGCGGACGGGUGAGGAAUACAUCGGAAUCUACUUUUUCGUGGGGGAUAACGUAGGGAAACUUACGCUAAUACCGCAUACGACCUACGGGUGAAAGCAGGGGAUCUUCGGACCUUGCGCGAUUGAAUGAGCCGAUGUCGGAUUAGCUAGUUGGCGGGGUAAAGGCCCACCAAGGCGACGAUCCGUAGCUGGUCUGAGAGGAUGGUCGGCCACCCUGGAGCUUGGACACGGUCCAGACUCCUACGGGAGGCAGCAGUGGGGAAUAUUGGACAAUGGGCGCAAGCCUGAUCCAGUCAUACCGCGUGGGUGAAGAAGGCCUUCGGGUUGUAAAGCCCUUUUGUUGGGAAAGAAAAGCAGCAGGUUAAUACCCCGCGGUUCUGACGGUACCCAAAGAAUAAGCACCGGCUAACUUCGUG
This 492-nucleotide ribosomal RNA is filed under the name uncultured bacterium. Its description in RNAcentral is "partial 16S ribosomal RNA". It matches the Rfam family "Bacterial small subunit ribosomal RNA", at positions 29 to 507 of the family's 1533-position model. The record is from RNAcentral.